UGUAAUAUUUUAGGUGUCAAUCCA
RNAcentral lists this non-coding RNA (24 nucleotides) under Arabidopsis thaliana (thale cress). The record is from RNAcentral. Lineage: Eukaryota; Viridiplantae; Streptophyta; Magnoliopsida; Brassicales; Brassicaceae.